RNAcentral lists this transfer RNA (72 nucleotides) under Streptococcus mutans 5DC8. Its description in RNAcentral is "tRNA-OTHER". It matches the Rfam family "tRNA". Rfam says of the family: Transfer RNA (tRNA) molecules are approximately 80 nucleotides in length. Their secondary structure includes four short double-helical elements and three loops (D, anti-codon, and T loops). Lineage: Bacteria; Bacillati; Bacillota; Bacilli; Lactobacillales; Streptococcaceae. The record is from RNAcentral.
GCGAACGUAGUUCAGUGGUAGAACAUCACCUUGCCAAGGUGGGGGUCGCGGGUUCGAUCCUAUACGUAGGUU